RNAcentral lists this ribosomal RNA (456 nucleotides) under Streptococcus mitis. RNAcentral's name for it is "bacterial SSU rRNA". It matches the Rfam family "Bacterial small subunit ribosomal RNA", at positions 28 to 470 of the family's 1533-position model. The record is from RNAcentral. Lineage: Bacteria; Bacillati; Bacillota; Bacilli; Lactobacillales; Streptococcaceae.
GACGAACGCUGGCGGCGUGCCUAAUACAUGCAAGUAGAACGCUGAAGGAGGAGCUUGCUUCCCUGGAUGAGUUGCGAACGGGUGAGUAACGCGUAGGUAACCUGCCUGGUAGCGGGGGAUAACUAUUGGAAACGAUAGCUAAUACCGCAUAACAGUAGAUGUUGCAUGACAUUUGCUUAAAAGGUGCAAUUGCAUCACUACCAGAUGGACCUGCGUUGUAUUAGCUAGUUGGUGGGGUAACGGCUCACCAAGGCGACGAUACAUAGCCGACCUGAGAGGGUGAUCGGCCACACUGGGACUGAGACACGGCCCAGACUCCUACGGGAGGCAGCAGUAGGGAAUCUUCGGCAAUGGACGGAAGUCUGACCGAGCAACGCCGCGUGAGUGAAGAAGGUUUUCGGAUCGUAAAGCUCUGUUGUAAGAGAAGAACGAGUGUGAGAGUGGAAAGUUCACACU